GACGAACGCUGGCGGCGUGCUUAACACAUGCAAGUCGAGCGAUGAAGUUCCUUCGGGAAUGGAUUAGCGGCGGACGGGUGAGUAACACGUGGGUAACCUGCUCAUAGAGGGGAAUAGCCCUUCGAAAGGAAGAUUAAUACCGCAUAAGAUUGUAGUACCGCAUGGUACAGCAAUUAAAGGAGUAAUCCGCUAUGAGAUGGACCUGCGUCGCAUUAGCUAGUUGGUGAGGUAACGGCUCCCCAAGGCGACGAUGCGUAGCCGACCUGAGAAGGUGAGCAGCGUGAUUGGGACACACACACGAGACAGACGCGAACGGGAGGAAGCAGUGGGGAAUAUUGCCCAAUUGAGAAGAACUCUGAAGCAGAAAUGCCGCGUGAGCGAAGAAGGUCUUCGGAACGUAAAGCUCUGUGAUCAGGGAAGAAGAAAAUGACGGUACCUGAUGAGCAAGUCCCGGCUAACUACGUGCCAGCCGCCGCCGUAA
RNAcentral lists this ribosomal RNA (481 nucleotides) under uncultured bacterium. RNAcentral describes it as "partial 16S ribosomal RNA". It matches the Rfam family "Bacterial small subunit ribosomal RNA", at positions 28 to 523 of the family's 1533-position model. The record is from RNAcentral.